RNAcentral lists this ribosomal RNA (614 nucleotides) under Hepatozoon canis. RNAcentral's name for it is "SSU rRNA". It matches the Rfam family "Eukaryotic small subunit ribosomal RNA", at positions 221 to 823 of the family's 1831-position model. Lineage: Eukaryota; Apicomplexa; Hepatozoidae. The record is from RNAcentral.
GCCAGUUCAUGCUUUUACAGUAUGAAAAUUGGUGAUUUAUAAUAACUUAGCAAAUCGCAAAGUGAAAACAGGCGAUAAAUCAUUCAAGUUUCUGACCUAUCAGCUUUCGACGGUAUGGUAUUGGCUUACCGUGGCAGUGACGGUUAACGGGGGAUUAGGGUUCGAUUCCGGAGAGGGAGCCUGAGAAACGGCUACCACAUCUAAGGAAGGCAGCAGGCGCGCAAAUUACCCAAUUCUAACAGUUUGAGAGAGGUAGUAACAAGAAAUAACAAUACAAGGCAGUUAAAAUGCUUUGUAAUUGGAAUGAUAGAAAUUUAAACCCUUUUUAAAGUAUCAAUUGGAGGGCAAGUCUGGUGCCAGCAGCCGCGGUAAUUCCAGCUCCAAUAGCGUAUAUUAAAAUUGUUGCAGUUAAAAAGCUCGUAGUUGAAGUUCUGCUGAAAGUAACCGGUCUGCUUUUAAUAAAAGUGGUAUCUUGGUAUGUAUUUAGCAAUGAUGUCCUUUGAAGUGUUUUUUACUUUAUUGUAAUAAAGCAUAUUCAGGACUUUUACUUUGAGAAAAUUAGAGUGUUUCUAGCAGGCUGACGCUUUGAAUACUGCAGCAUGGAAUAAUAAAGA